UCCCAGGUAGCUCAGAGGUUAAAGCAUCUGCCUGCAAUGCAGGAGGCCUGGGUUCGAUCCCUGGUUCAAGAA
Molecule: transfer RNA, 72 nt
Filed under: Capra hircus (goat)
Lineage: Eukaryota; Metazoa; Chordata; Mammalia; Artiodactyla; Bovidae
Also listed under: 1 other name
Rfam family: tRNA
About the family: Transfer RNA (tRNA) molecules are approximately 80 nucleotides in length.
Source: Rfam by way of RNAcentral